AGCAUCUCAGCUUCAGCUGCACUCGCUGGAAAACAGUAGAACUACAACAGAAAAUAUGUUCUGGAUUAGAAUCACCAUCGUUUGCAUGUGCAUAUCCCUGCUGGAAGCCCAUAAGGAGUGUGCAAGACACAUAAAAUGGGUGCAUCUCAUUCAGUCAUUAAAUUCAAUGGGCACUGCGAUAUCUCACGACUGUGCAUUUGAUUAUGAAGAAGCCAGUUUGUGUGAUCCACGUCACCUGGCCAAUAUGGUGGAUCAUAAUGCAAUUCUUCUGGUCGACAUUGUCAAGAAAACAGAAACAAUGUACAGGGAGAAUCCAAACCCACAGACGUUUAUUGAGGCCCUUCAUCACACCCGUCACACCCUGAGCAACUGUAUUCAUCACUCUGACAAUGCUGAAAAUGAGCCUGUGACCACAUGCUUCAACAAAUUAGAAGCUUUUCUUAAGAAAAAGUCCCACUCGCAAUGUGCAUGGGAAAUUAUUAAUUCAAAAGUGAGGGAGGUUCUUCAGAGGCUGGAGAAACGCUCUGUCAGAGAUCGGCGUUAGAGACUUUAUCAUGCAUGUAUUAAUGCUUAUAUUUAAUUGCAAAAAAGGUGACAUUUUAUAAGCUUGAUGGAUAUAUGUAUAUAUUUUAAGAAAUGCACAUUAUAUACAAAAUGUUUCAAAUUCAUGAUUUAUUGAGUUUAUUGCUGUA
This is a long non-coding RNA of Cyprinus carpio carpio, 692 nucleotides long. Lineage: Eukaryota; Metazoa; Chordata; Actinopteri; Cypriniformes; Cyprinidae. The record is from Ensembl.